This 204-nucleotide unclassified non-coding RNA is filed under the name uncultured fungus. RNAcentral's name for it is "sequence contains ITS1". The record is from RNAcentral. Lineage: Eukaryota; Fungi.
UUGAUUCAUUUGUUUAUGAUUCCACUCAGACAUGCAAAGUAAGAAAUACAAGAGUUUGGGUCCCCCGGCGGGCGCCUGGUUCCGGCGGCUUUUUGGGCCUUCCGGGGCGUUAACCCGCCGAAGCAACAGUAAAGGUAUAAGUUCACAGGGGUUUGGGAGUAGAAAAACUCGGUAAUGAUCCCUCCGCUGGUUCACCAACGGAGA